Molecule: long non-coding RNA, 531 nt
Organism: Passer domesticus (house sparrow)
Lineage: Eukaryota; Metazoa; Chordata; Aves; Passeriformes; Passeridae
Exons: 3
Source: RefSeq, a predicted model, not a curated record
UAUUUUUCCUUAUUCAGAAUAAGAAAGAAUCAAGAAAGCCCUGUAGGUCAUGGAGUUGUUUCUGUUACACUUUUUUCCAGUGCGCACUGACUCUCAGAAUGGUAUUGCAAUGACCAAAUAAUCUGGAAAUUGCAAAGAAUUCUAAAAUAUAUAUCUAUAUGUGGGGGACUUCCAUGAGCUUUGCAAUUCAAAUAUACUUUCUUGUCCUUAGAAUCAGCAGGAAAAUCAGACCAUAUUACUCAUAGAAACACCAGUACAUAAUCAAAGCUUUCUGUGGAAAAAGACUUGCUAUAGCUUUGGAAUUUCAACAAAUGGUCUGGAGCCCCUGUCUCAUGAAUACAGGCUAACAGAGCUGUGGCUGCUCAGCCUGGAGAAAAGAAGGCUCCAGGGACACCUUCUAGCAACCUUCCAGCACAUGGAAAGAGCUUGCAAGAGAGCCAGAGAAUUGUCGUAAGGAAAAGGACAUGCAGUCAUAUUUUCCUGGGCACAGUUACCAUGGAGCUGUCAAUCAGAAGAACAGAGCCAUCACAG